RNAcentral lists this ribosomal RNA (586 nucleotides) under uncultured bacterium. Its description in RNAcentral is "bacterial SSU rRNA". It matches the Rfam family "Bacterial small subunit ribosomal RNA", at positions 338 to 916 of the family's 1533-position model. The record is from RNAcentral.
CCUACGGGAGGCAGCAGCUAAGAAUAUUCCGCAAUGGGCGAAAGCCUGACGGAGCAAUCCCGCGUGAAUGACGAAGGCUUUAGGGUCGUAAGUUCUUUCGGCAGGGAAGAAUAAGGUGAAGAGGAAAUGCUUCAUCGAUGACGGUACCUGCAGAAGAAGCACCGACUAACUACGUGCCAGCAGUCGCGGUAAUACGUAGGGUGCUAACGUUGCUCGGAAUUACUGGGCGUAAAGGGUGCGCAGGCGGUUGAAUAAGUUAGUGGUGAAAUCCCGGAGCUUAACUCCAGGCCUGCCAUUAAUACUGUUCAGCUUGAGUCGUAAUAGAGGCAGUGGGAAUUCCUAGUGUAGGAGUGAAAUCUGUAGAUAUUAGGAGGAACACCAAUGGCGAAGGCAAGCUGCUGGGUAACGACUGACGCUAAUGCACGAAAGCUAGGGGAGCAAAUGGGAUUAGAGACCCCAGUAGUCCUAGCUGUAAACUAUGUAUACUAGUUUUUAGGUCUUUUAUUAGACUUAAUAACAAAGCCAACGCGUUAAGUAUACCGCCUGGGAGUAUGCACGCAAGUGUGAAACUUAAAGGAAUUGACGG